This 417-nucleotide ribosomal RNA is filed under the name uncultured bacterium. RNAcentral's name for it is "bacterial SSU rRNA". It matches the Rfam family "Bacterial small subunit ribosomal RNA", at positions 32 to 430 of the family's 1533-position model. The record is from RNAcentral.
AAUCAACGCUGGCGGCGUGCCUCAGACAUGCAAGUCGAACGAGAAAGUUCCCUUCGGGGAAUGAGUAAAGUGGCGCACGGGUGAGUAACACGUAGGUAAUCUACCUUCGGGUGGGGAAUAACCCAGGGAAACUUGGGCUAACACCGCAUAAUGCAGCGGCACCACAUGGUGACAGUUGUUAAAGCGGGGGAUUUUAGGACCUCGCGCCUGAAGAGGAGCCUGCGGCGGAUUAGCNGUUGGUAAGGUAACGGCUUACCAAGGCGACGAUCCGUAGCCGGCCUGAGAGGGCGGUCGGCCACACUGACACUGACAUACGGGUCAGACUCCUACGGGAGGCAGCAGUCGGGAAUUUGGGCAAUGGGCGAAAGCCUGACCCAGCAACGCCGCGUGAAGGAUGAAAUCCCUCGGGAUGUAAAC